This 286-nucleotide ribosomal RNA is filed under the name uncultured prokaryote. RNAcentral's name for it is "partial 16S ribosomal RNA". It matches the Rfam family "Bacterial small subunit ribosomal RNA", at positions 201 to 484 of the family's 1533-position model. The record is from RNAcentral.
ACAAUGCUAUCGCUUAUGGAUGAGUCCGCGGCUGAUUAGCUAGUUGGUGAGGUAACGGCUCACCAAGGCGAUGAUCAGUAGCCGGCCUGAGAGGGUGAACGGCCACACUGGGACUGAGACACGGCCCAGACUCCUACGGGAGGCAGCAGUGGGGAAUCUUCCGCAAUGGGCGAAAGCCUGACGGAGCAACGCCGCGUGAGUGAAGAAGCCCUUCGGGUUGUAAAACUCUGUCUUAUGGAAGAAAGGCUAUGGUGCAAAUACUGCCAUAGAUUGUCGGUACAUUGGG